UGGGGAAUUUUGGACAAUGGGGGAAACCCUGAUCCAGCCAUCCCGCGUGUGCGAUGAAGGCCUUCGGGUUGUAAAGCACUUUUGGCAGGAAAGAAACGUCAUGGGUUAAUACCCCGUGAAACUGACGGUACCUGCAGAAUAAGCACCGGCUAACUACGUGCCAGCAGCCGCGGUAAUACGUAGGGUGCAAGCGUUAAUCGGAAUUACUGGGCGUAAAGCGUGCGCAGGCGGUUCGGAAAGAAAGAUGUGAAAUCCCAGAGCUCAACUUUGGAACUGCCGUUUUAACUGACCGGCUAGAGUGUGGUAGGGGGAGGUGGAAUUCCGAGUGUAGCAGUGAAAUGCGUAGAUAUGGGGAAGAACACCGAUGGCGAAGGCGGGCUACUGGGAUAACACUGACGCUCAUGGACGAAAGCGUGGGGAGCAAACAGG
Molecule: ribosomal RNA, 429 nt
Filed under: Acidobacteriota bacterium
Lineage: Bacteria; Pseudomonadati; Acidobacteriota
Description: Acidobacteria bacterium partial 16S ribosomal RNA
Rfam family: Bacterial small subunit ribosomal RNA
Source: RNAcentral